GAGCGAGACCCACGCCCACAGUUGCCAGCGUACUCUCCGGAGUGACGGGUACACUGUGGGGACCGCCGCUGCUAAAGCGGAGGAAGGAAUGGGCAACCGGUAGGUCAGUAUGCCCCGAAUAUCCCGGGCUACACGCGAGCUACAAUGGUUGGUACAAUGGGUAUCUACCCCGAAAGGGGACGGGAAUACUCCUAGAACCAAUCUUAGUUCGGAUUGAGGGCUGCAACUCGCCCUCAUGAAGCUGGAAUCCGUAGUAAUCGCGUUUCAACAGAACGCGGUGAAUACGUCCCUGCUCCUU
Molecule: ribosomal RNA, 298 nt
Filed under: uncultured Methanosaeta sp.
Lineage: Archaea; Methanobacteriati; Methanobacteriota; Methanomicrobia; Methanotrichales; Methanotrichaceae
Description: partial 16S ribosomal RNA
Rfam family: Archaeal small subunit ribosomal RNA
Source: RNAcentral